AGCGAACGCUGGCGGCAGGCUUAACACAUGCAAGUCGAACGCCAUCUUCGGAUGGAGUGGCAGACGGGUGAGUAACGCGUGGGAACGUACCCUUUGGUUCGGAAUAUUCUCGGGAAACUGGGAGCAAUACCGGAUAAGCCCUACGGGGGGAAAGAUUUAUCGCCAAAGGAGCGGCCCGCGUCAGAUUAGGUAGUUGGUGGGGUAAAGGCCUACCAAGCCUACGAUCUGUAGCUGGUCUGAGAGGAUGAUCAGCCACACUGGGACUGAGACACGGCCCAGACUCCUACGGGAGGCAGCAGUGGGGAAUCUUGGACAAUGGGCGCAAGCCUGAUCCAGCCAUGCCGCGUGGAUGAUGAAGGCCUUAGGGUUGUAAAAUCCUUUCAACGGGGACGAUAAUGACGGUACCCGUAGAAGAAGCCCCGGCUAACUUCGUG
This 434-nucleotide ribosomal RNA is filed under the name uncultured bacterium. RNAcentral describes it as "bacterial SSU rRNA". It matches the Rfam family "Bacterial small subunit ribosomal RNA", at positions 29 to 507 of the family's 1533-position model. The record is from RNAcentral.